Molecule: ribosomal RNA, 441 nt
Filed under: uncultured eukaryote
Lineage: Eukaryota
Description: bacterial SSU rRNA
Rfam family: Eukaryotic small subunit ribosomal RNA
Source: RNAcentral
UGGGGUGACUUGUCUGGUUAAUUUCGAUAACGAACGAGAUCCGAGCCGUUUCGUUGUAUAUCAUAAGAGUUAUUUUGUGAUGUAUAUCAAAAUGGACCAUCUGCUCAAGCAGAAGGAAGUGACGGGCUAAAUCAGGUCUGUGAUGCCCUUCGAUACUCUGGGCGGCACGCGCGCUACAAUGGACAGCGUAAAGUGUCACUCUGUUGAAAAACAGGGUGGAUCACUGAAACUGUGUCUUGAUUGGGAUAGUCUUUUGCAAUUUUCAGACUUGAACUAGGAAUCCCUUGUAGGUGCAGUAAAGAAUACUGCUCCGAAUACGUCCCUGCCGUUUGUACACCCCGCCCGUCGUUUCUUCCGACUGGUUCUCAUUGUGAAUGACGAGGACAGUUUCGACUGAAUUCGUUGUGAAUGCUGCGUAUUGGAGGAAGAAAAAGUCGUAAC